Non-coding RNA from Rhopilema esculentum, 786 nucleotides. NCBI's taxonomy places the organism in Eukaryota, Metazoa, Cnidaria, Scyphozoa, Rhizostomeae, Rhizostomatidae. The record is from RefSeq and is a predicted model, not a curated record.
GGUUAUUCAAUGGUGGAGUAGUUUCGAGGAAGGCCAAUGCAUACUUUACAAGAGUACAAAAGUUAGAGGGUUUUCCCGUUGUGCUUGAACUUGGCAAAAUGUUAAGACUAAACCAUAGAUGACUUUACAUAAAUGUCAUUUCUAAAAAACUCUAAUUCAAAAGUAACAAGGAAAAUUUUGAGGAAAGAAAAUUGGGCAAAAUUCAAUCCGUAGACAGGUUGAGGGGUUUUCAGGAUAGGCUGAAUUCCACUCCAAAGUACUUAUUUUCAAAACUGUGCUCUUUACAUUCGAGGUUAUAUUGUAAUUUGUCUGCUAACUUCAACUUUCCUGUGUGGAUUGUAGCUUUAAAAUAUUGUAUUCUGUCUAUUAAAGAUUGCUGAAGUCAGUUGAUCACAACGAUGUAAGAUAAAAGACUUCAAAUACAAAUAAUCUGAACUUUCCCACCAAGACACAGGACAUUGACAUGAACAAAAAUGCAACCUGAAUUCGCAGUUAGACGUAUAUUGAAGUGAGAAAAUGUUUGGACGAUUAAACAAAACAGGACGUGACGCCCAUACUUGGAACUCACAACACAGAAAGAUAAGAAAACACUCUCGAAAGAUUUCUGAAACCCCUCUAGUAACAGCCGUGAUUUCACUUAGAAGCAAACAAGAGUACAUAUACAAACAUACAGAUUUAUAUAAGGUAUAUACACGCAUAUAAAUAUAUAUCAUUUAUAUAUUUAUAUAAGUUUAUGAUAUAUAUAUAUAUUUAUAUUAUAUAUAUAUAUGAAAAGUUGAUGGCAGU